RNAcentral lists this non-coding RNA (28 nucleotides) under Cricetulus griseus (Chinese hamster). Lineage: Eukaryota; Metazoa; Chordata; Mammalia; Rodentia; Cricetidae. The record is from RNAcentral.
AGUUUGCUUCCUGUUAGAUGUCCCUAGG